GAGUCGUUAGCUCAGUUGGUAGAGCACCGGACUUUUAAUCCGGGUGUCGAGGGUUCAAGUCCCUCACGACUCACCA
Molecule: transfer RNA, 76 nt
Filed under: Synergistales bacterium
Lineage: Bacteria; Thermotogati; Synergistota; Synergistia; Synergistales
Description: tRNA-Lys
Rfam family: tRNA
About the family: Transfer RNA (tRNA) molecules are approximately 80 nucleotides in length. Their secondary structure includes four short double-helical elements and three loops (D, anti-codon, and T loops).
Source: RNAcentral